This is a long non-coding RNA of Ruditapes philippinarum (Manila clam), 1177 nucleotides long. RefSeq lists it as uncharacterized. The record is from RefSeq and is a predicted model, not a curated record. The transcript has 6 exons. Lineage: Eukaryota; Metazoa; Mollusca; Bivalvia; Venerida; Veneridae.
GAGUAUCUAUGAAAGCGCAUUCUAUUAUUGAUGACACAGCUACUGCGUCAAAUUUCAACUAGAGAAGUCAUAGCGCAGAUUUUGCUUUUCCAAAAACGGUAUGGCGUGAUAAACUUUAAAAUAGCUCGGUCACGUGACAUUAUAAAGAUGUUGCAUUUGAAAAUAAAAAUAAACCUCCAAAACAUCCUGCGUGUAUAUCUAUAAGUAUCAGUCUAGACAUAUUUGUUGACAAAGACAAAACAAAAAAAAAACAACCAAGAGAUUAUUUCAGUAUUUUACCCUUUAUAAGACGAUUGCUAUAUUUAGUGCAUUAAUUGGACGUUGUGACAGCCUAGCGGUAUGAAGAUUGUAGCAUUUUUGGUCGGUAUUUCAAGCCUCGCUCUGGGAGCCAACGCAGAUUGCUGUAAAAAUGACUGGCUAUCAUAUGAGGGACAUUGCUACUACAUCGGUUAUGAAACCCUUUUGACCUUCACUUCUGUGUGGGCGUAUUGUAACAGUCGGGACGCCUACCUUGUGCGGCUAGAGACACCUGGAGAAUAAAUAUUCGUGAAAGAAUAUUUGAAGAAAACUAGAGCAAGAACGCCAUGGAUUGGUUUGACUGACAUGUAUAGCGAAGGGAAGUGGCAAUGGAUGGAUACUGGAAAACAUAUUCGAUUCUCUGACUGGGCAUACGGUCAACCCGACAAUUCCAGAAACGAAGACUGCGUGCACUUAAAUAGUAAAUUAUGAAAUUCAAGUGGAAUGAUGUAAGCUGCAACUACAAAUUCAUUCCAUUGUGUGAAUAUGACUUAAGCUAAAUUUUGUCGAAUCAACGGAUAGAACAUCGUUUUUCUUUUCAGUAUCACCUUUUUUAUUAGUUCAAAAUUUUAUGAAAAAAAGUGUUUUCCUUUUUAAUGAUUGAUAAAACUAUAAUGAUGGUAUGACAUGACAUAAAUCUAAUCCAAACCUCUUAAUCAUAACUUUUCUAGGAAGUAAUUUUAACAUGUUAUUUUUAAACAUUGUAAAAAACCUUGAAUUAUCUUUAUUUGUCCUAAUUCUUACAGCAACUUCUUAAGUGUUUUAGGGCAUAAACAUUUCUGUGUUUUGGGCAACCCGAUCCUACCAAGAGAAACCCUCAUGGCCCUUAAUCAUAUUCCUUGAAACAUUUUGAAACGGAUUAAAAGAUAUUUCUAACCUA